RNAcentral lists this ribosomal RNA (586 nucleotides) under uncultured bacterium. RNAcentral describes it as "partial 16S ribosomal RNA". It matches the Rfam family "Bacterial small subunit ribosomal RNA", at positions 355 to 1375 of the family's 1533-position model. The record is from RNAcentral.
UGGGGAAUUUUGGACAAUGGGCGAAAGCCUGAUCCAGCAAUGCCGCGUGUGUGAAGAAGGCCUUCGGGUUGUAAAGCACUUUUGUCCGGAAAGAAAUCCUUGGCUCUAAUACAGUCGGGGGAUGACGGUACCGGAAGAAUAAGCACCGGCUAACUACGUGCCAGCAGCCGCGGUAAUACGUAGGGUGCAAGCGUUAAUCGGAAUUACUGGGCGUAAAGCGUGCGCAGGCGGUUUGCUAAGACCGAUGUGAAAUCCCCGGGCUCAACCUGGGAACUGCAUUGGUGACUGGCAGGCUAGAGUAUGGCAGAGGGGGGUAGAAUUCCACGUGUAGCAGUGAAAUGCGUAGAGAUGUGGAGGAAUACCGAUGGCGAAGGCAGCCCCCCUGGGCCAAUACUGACGCUCAUGCACGAAAGCGUGGGGAGCAAACAGGAUUAGAUACCCCUGGUAGUCCACGCCCUAAACGAUGUCAACUAGUUGUUGGGGAUUCAUUUCCUAGUAACGUAGCUAACGCGUGAAGUUGACCGCCUGGGGAGUACGGUCGCAAGAUUAAAACUCAAAUGAAUUGACGGGGUCAUAGCUGUUUCCU